UUUUCUUCCAUCAAAGCUUCAUGUUGGCUCUUAGCAAUAUAUGCAUGAACUGAAAGAGACUCAACACGAUCCUCCCAACCUGUUGCACCUCGUAUUGUAGGUACAGUCCUCAAUAACGCUUCUCGAGGUAAUUUCCCUUCUUGUAUUGUAGAAAUGGCAGAAGCCCAAAACUCACUAGUUUUCGUACUUCCACCAAGUUCAUCAUCUAC
RNAcentral lists this long non-coding RNA (209 nucleotides) under Physcomitrium patens. RNAcentral describes it as "long non-coding RNA (PPAT_LNC010990)". Lineage: Eukaryota; Viridiplantae; Streptophyta; Bryopsida; Funariales; Funariaceae. The record is from RNAcentral.